UACAUAUUUCUAUCCGCCUGGGAAUUUCCGAGCAUUUAGCUUAAAACCCAAAGGACUUCGGCGGUUCUUUAGAUCCCCCUAGAGGAGCCUGUCCUAUAACCGAUAACCCCCGUUCAACCUCACCCUCCCUUGUUUAAUCCCGCCUAUAUACCGCCGUCGUAAGCUUGCCCUGUGAAGGUCAAAUAGCGAGCAAAAUUAGUAUAACCCAAAACGUCAGGUCGAGGUGUAGCGCAUGAGAGGGGAAGAGAUGGGCUACAUUCGCUAGUCUAGCGAAUACGAAUGAUGUAAUGAAAACUUACAUACUGAAGGAGGAUUUAGCAGUAAGUGGUAAAUAGAGCGUCCCACUGAAGCAGGCUCUAAAGUAUGCACAUACCGCCCGUCACUCUCCCCGAGCAUUUCCAAACAUAUAACUAAAACAACAUAUGAGCAAAGGUGAGGCAA
This 441-nucleotide ribosomal RNA is filed under the name Pampus argenteus (silver pomfret). RNAcentral describes it as "partial 12S ribosomal RNA". Lineage: Eukaryota; Metazoa; Chordata; Actinopteri; Scombriformes; Stromateidae. The record is from RNAcentral.